GACGAACGCUGGCGGCGUGCCUAAUACAUGCAAGUCGAGCGAAGUUUUUCUGGUGCUUGCACUAGAAAAACUUAGCGGCGAACGGGUGAGUAACACGUAAAGAACCUGCCUCAUAGACUGGGACAACUAUUGGAAACGAUAGCUAAUACCGGAUAACAGCAUUAACUGCAUGGUUGAUGUUUGAAAGUUGGUUUUGCUAACACUAUGAGAUGGCUUUGCGGUGCAUUAGCUAGUUGGUGGGGUAAAGGCCUACCAAGGCGACGAUGCAUAGCCGACCUGAGAGGGUGAUCGGCCACACUGGGACUGAGACACGGCCCAGACUCCUACGGGAGGCAGCAGUAGGGAAUCUUCCGCAAUGGGCGAAAGCCUGACGGAGCAACGCCGCGUGAGUGAAGAAGGAUUUCGGUUCGUAAAAGCUCUGUGUUAGGGAAAGAAAUG
RNAcentral lists this ribosomal RNA (438 nucleotides) under Gemella morbillorum. RNAcentral describes it as "bacterial SSU rRNA". It matches the Rfam family "Bacterial small subunit ribosomal RNA", at positions 28 to 452 of the family's 1533-position model. Lineage: Bacteria; Bacillati; Bacillota; Bacilli; Caryophanales; Gemellaceae. The record is from RNAcentral.